AACGAACGCUGGCGGCAUGCCUAGCACAUGCAAGUCGAACGAGACCUUCGGGUCUAGUGGCGCACGGGUGCGUAACGCGUGGGAACCUGCCCUUAGGUUCGGAAUAACUCCCCGAAAGGGGUGCUAAUACCGGAUAAUGUCUUCGGACCAAAGAUUUAUCGCCUUUGGAUGGGCCCGCGUUGGAUUAGCUAGUUGGUAGGGUAAAAGCCUACCAAGGCGACGAUCCAUAGCUGGUCUGAGAGGAUGAUCAGCCACACUGGGACUGAGACACGGCCCAGACUCCUACGGGAGGCAGCAGUGGGGAAUAUUGGACAAUGGGCGAAAGCCUGAUCCAGCAAUGCCGCGUGAGUGAUGAAAGCCUUAGGGUUGUAAAGCUCUUUUACCCGGGAUGAUAAUGACAGUACCGGGAGAAUAAGCUCCGGCUAACUCCGUG
Molecule: ribosomal RNA, 433 nt
Filed under: uncultured bacterium
Lineage: Bacteria
Description: partial 16S ribosomal RNA
Rfam family: Bacterial small subunit ribosomal RNA
Source: RNAcentral